This 73-nucleotide transfer RNA is filed under the name Urogymnus granulatus (mangrove whipray). Its description in RNAcentral is "tRNA-Thr". It matches the Rfam family "tRNA". Rfam says of the family: Transfer RNA (tRNA) molecules are approximately 80 nucleotides in length. Their secondary structure includes four short double-helical elements and three loops (D, anti-codon, and T loops). The record is from RNAcentral. Lineage: Eukaryota; Metazoa; Chordata; Chondrichthyes; Myliobatiformes; Dasyatidae.
GUUUUGGUGGCCCAGUCUUUAAGGCGUCGGUCUUGUAAGCCGAAGACCGGAGGUGAGAUUCCUCCCCAAAACA